This 1119-nucleotide ribosomal RNA is filed under the name Klebsiella pneumoniae. RNAcentral describes it as "bacterial SSU rRNA". It matches the Rfam family "Bacterial small subunit ribosomal RNA", at positions 1 to 1107 of the family's 1533-position model. Lineage: Bacteria; Pseudomonadati; Pseudomonadota; Gammaproteobacteria; Enterobacterales; Enterobacteriaceae. The record is from RNAcentral.
ACUUAAAUUGAAGAGUUUGAUCAUGGCUCAGAUUGAACGCUGGCGGCAGGCCUAACACAUGCAAGUCGAGCGGUAGCACAGAGAGCUUGCUCUCGGGUGACGAGCGGCGGACGGGUGAGUAAUGUCUGGGAAACUGCCUGAUGGAGGGGGAUAACUACUGGAAACGGUAGCUAAUACCGCAUAACGUCGCAAGACCAAAGUGGGGGACCUUCGGGCCUCAUGCCAUCAGAUGUGCCCAGAUGGGAUUAGCUAGUAGGUGGGGUAACGGCUCACCUAGGCGACGAUCCCUAGCUGGUCUGAGAGGAUGACCAGCCACACUGGAACUGAGACACGGUCCAGACUCCUACGGGAGGCAGCAGUGGGGAAUAUUGCACAAUGGGCGCAAGCCUGAUGCAGCCAUGCCGCGUGUGUGAAGAAGGCCUUCGGGUUGUAAAGCACUUUCAGCGGGGAGGAAGGCGAUAAGGUUAAUAACCUUGGCGAUUGACGUUACCCGCAGAAGAAGCACCGGCUAACUCCGUGCCAGCAGCCGCGGUAAUACGGAGGGUGCAAGCGUUAAUCGGAAUUACUGGGCGUAAAGCGCACGCAGGCGGUCUGUCAAGUCGGAUGUGAAAUCCCCGGGCUCAACCUGGGAACUGCAUUCGAAACUGGCAGGCUAGAGUCUUGUAGAGGGGGGUAGAAUUCCAGGUGUAGCGGUGAAAUGCGUAGAGAUCUGGAGGAAUACCGGUGGCGAAGGCGGCCCCCUGGACAAAGACUGACGCUCAGGUGCGAAAGCGUGGGGAGCAAACAGGAUUAGAUACCCUGGUAGUCCACGCCGUAAACGAUGUCGAUUUGGAGGUUGUGCCCUUGAGGCGUGGCUUCCGGAGCUAACGCGUUAAAUCGACCGCCUGGGGAGUACGGCCGCAAGGUUAAAACUCAAAUGAAUUGACGGGGGCCCGCACAAGCGGUGGAGCAUGUGGUUUAAUUCGAUGCAACGCGAAGAACCUUACCUGGUCUUGACAUCCACAGAACUUUCCAGAGAUGGAUUGGUGCCUUCGGGAACUGUGAGACAGGUGCUGCAUGGCUGUCGUCAGCUCGUGUUGUGAAAUGUUGGGUUAAGUCCCGCAACGAGCGCAACCCUUA